GAUGAAGAACGUAGCGAAAUGCGAUAAGUAAUGUGAAUUGCAGAAUUCAGUGAAUCAUCGAAUCUUUGAACGCACAUUGCGCCCAUUAGUAUUCUAGUGGGCAUGCCUGUUCGAGCGUCAUUUCAACCCUUAAGCCCCCGUUGCUUAGUGUUGGGAGCCUACGCGCGGUCCCCCCGCCGUAGCUCCUCAAAGACAGUGGCAGAGUCGGUUCAAACUCUAGGCGUAGUAAAUCUAUAUCUCGUCUCUGUAGUUGGGCUGGCCCUCGCCGUAAAACACCCCACGUUUUUAAAGGUUGACCUCGGAUCAGGUAGGAAUACCCGCUGAACUUAAGCAUAUCAAUAAGCGGAGGA
RNAcentral lists this unclassified non-coding RNA (350 nucleotides) under soil metagenome. RNAcentral describes it as "partial contains 5.8S ribosomal RNA, internal transcribed spacer 2, and large subunit ribosomal RNA". The stretch from base 1 to 120 matches the Rfam family "5.8S ribosomal RNA", at positions 35 to 154 of the family's 154-position model. The record is from RNAcentral.